UGCAACAUUGUACCAAUAUUAUAUUUUACAAUGAUAAUCAAUAUUUUGUCAAUGAGAGCUUAUAUAGACAGGUUUGUAAUGUAAGGCCACCCUGGCCACCAUGAUUUGUUUGUUUAUUUUUGAUUGCAGACAAAGCUCAUCUUCUAAACUAUUCAGUUUUGAACAUGAUUCCGUGACGGGUGAAGACAUUUUUUUAAAAGAAAUCAUGAGCAGACACGGAUGUUAACAAUUCAUAUCAAAACGUAUCAGUUUUCCUGCUCAUUAGGUGCAAAUACUCAACAUGAUGGUAAUGACAACGAAUAUGGAAAGAUCGGAUUGAAUGUGAAAGACGCAGAAAACAUAGUCAAUUGAAGCAGUAAAUGUAUUGAAGAUAUUUAUAGAAGAAAACAAUGACAUUCCAGUAACAUAUGAGAAACUAUGGAGGGCGAUCGUUGCCAAAAUUCCAGACAUGUAAUGUGUUCCUUUUGAAAACUACUUUUGAAAAUGCGAACGGGUAUGUCUAGCAUUUUUUAUUAUAUUCGUGCAAAGCAAAUGAUAUGCCUCUUAAUCCCGUCUUUAAAUUGAAGGCACCCGCUUUAAAAUAACAAGUUUACAUGUAAAUCUUAACAACUGACCUAACAUGG
Long non-coding RNA from Ruditapes philippinarum (Manila clam), 623 nucleotides. RefSeq lists it as uncharacterized. The transcript is spliced from 3 exons. Lineage: Eukaryota; Metazoa; Mollusca; Bivalvia; Venerida; Veneridae. The record is from RefSeq and is a predicted model, not a curated record.